UUGAACACUUCAUGUGAGAGCUGUAUUUCAUUUGAACAGAACCCACGGCAACCAUGACUUUCAUCACCAUCUUCAUCUGGACUCUGGUCUGUUACGCACAAGGGUCUUGGGGCCAGUAUGUAUUGACUCAGUCUGCAGCUCAAUCAGUCCAGCCUGGUCAAACUGUCUCUAUUGACUGUAGCGCCAGUAGUAAAGUUACUCAGUACUCUGGCUCACAGUAUUUCCUGGCCUGGUACCAUCAGACGUCUGGAGAAGCUCCUAAACUCCUGAUCUAUGUCACAUCAGCAAGGUUCACAGGAGUUUCCACCAGGUUCAGUGGCAGUGGGAGAGGAAAUGGUGUUGACUUCACUCUGACCAUCAGUGAAGUCCAGGCUGAGGAUACAGGAGUUUACUACUGUCAGAGUUACCACAGUGAUCCUGUGUUCACACAGUGAUUUAGAGCCGCACAAAAACCCCCCUCAGUCAGAGUCCACUGCUGCAGCUGGGACUUACUGCAGGUGCUGAGGGCGAAGACAAUGACAUGCGUCACUGAGUUCUACUGUACAAACACUCAACCCACUGGGCAGAAACUGGUUGAAUCAACGCUGUUUCCACAUCAAUUAAACCAAACAAAUCUUUGUGAUGAAGUUGAAUCAACAUGGAAAACCAAUUCGAUUUGCAAAAAGUCAUCGGCGUGAGGGCAUUUUGCUUUUUUUU
Non-coding RNA from Salvelinus sp. IW2-2015, 696 nucleotides. The record is from the annotation of a RefSeq genome assembly. Lineage: Eukaryota; Metazoa; Chordata; Actinopteri; Salmoniformes; Salmonidae.